UAAUACGGAGUGUGCAAGCGUUACUCGGAAUCACUGGGCAUAAAGAGCACGUAGGUGGGAAUACAUGUCCGUGGUGAAAUCCCCCAGCUCAACUGGGGAACUGCUUUGGAAACUGUAUUUCUUGAGGACGAGAGGGGAGAGUGGAACUUCUGGUGGAGCGGUGAAAUGCGUAGAUAUCAGAAGGAACACCGGUGGCGAAAGCGACUCUCUGGCUCGUAUCUGACACUGAGGUGCGAAAGCUUGGGUAGCAAACAGGAUUAGAUACCCUGGUAGUCCAAGCCGUAAACGAUGGGCACUAGGCAGGGGGGAUUCCGAUAUUCUCCCUGCUGGAGCUAAUGUGUUAAGUGCCCCGCCUGGGAAGUACAGUCGCAAGGCCG
This 377-nucleotide ribosomal RNA is filed under the name uncultured bacterium. Its description in RNAcentral is "bacterial SSU rRNA". It matches the Rfam family "Bacterial small subunit ribosomal RNA", at positions 521 to 896 of the family's 1533-position model. The record is from RNAcentral.